UACGUAGGGUGCAAGCGUUGUCCGGAAUUAUUGGGCGUAAAGAGCUCGUAGGCGGUCCGUCGCGUCGAAUGUGAAAACCCGGGGCUCAACCCCGGGCCUGCAUUCGAUACGGGCGGACUAGAGUUCGGUAGGGGAGACUGGAAUUCCUGGUGUAGCGGUGAAAUGCGCAGAUAUCAGGAGGAACACCGGUGGCGAAGGCGGGUCUCUGGCCUGUUCUUGACGCUGAGGCGCGAAAGCUAGGGGAGCAAACGGG
This 253-nucleotide ribosomal RNA is filed under the name uncultured bacterium. RNAcentral's name for it is "partial 16S ribosomal RNA". It matches the Rfam family "Bacterial small subunit ribosomal RNA", at positions 524 to 776 of the family's 1533-position model. The record is from RNAcentral.